Molecule: ribosomal RNA, 376 nt
Filed under: uncultured bacterium
Lineage: Bacteria
Description: bacterial SSU rRNA
Rfam family: Bacterial small subunit ribosomal RNA
Source: RNAcentral
UAAGACGAACCGUGCGAACGUUGUUCGGAAUCACUGGGCUUAAAGGGCGCGUAGGCGGGCCGCCAAGUCAGGGGUGAAAUCGUUCGGCUUAACCGGACAAGUGCCUCUGAUACUGGCGGCCUCGAGGGAGGUAGGGGUCUGCGGAACUUCCGGUGGAGCGGUGAAAUGCGUAGAUAUCGGAAGGAACGCCGGUGGCGAAAGCGGCGGACUGGACCUCUUCUGACGCUGAGGCGCGAAAGCCAGGGGAGCGAACGGGAUUAGAUACCCCGGUAGUCCUGGCCCUAAACGUUGGGCACUAGGUUGUGGGCUUGACAUGGGCUCACAGCCGAAGCAAAAGUGUUAAGUGCCCCGCCUGGGGAGUAUGGUCGCAAGGCUG